GCUAUCCACAAGGCUUACUAUAGAAAUUGAUAUGAUGUUGACCAAGUACAUAUUGAUGCUUAUGGCAUAUUUGAAUAGUAUUGCUUUGUUGUGCUAUCCACAAAGAUAGCAUUGUUUUAAGUAUGACCAUAUGGGAUUGAAAGGUUAACUUAACUAGAACACUAUAGUUUGUUGUGCUAUCCAUAAGACUAUAUGUGAUCUAGAGGCA
Molecule: long non-coding RNA, 208 nt
Filed under: Elaeis guineensis (African oil palm)
Lineage: Eukaryota; Viridiplantae; Streptophyta; Magnoliopsida; Arecales; Arecaceae
Description: long non-coding RNA (EGUI_LNC051417)
Source: RNAcentral